AAACGUUCAACUCAUUAAAUGAUGAGCCGCAGUUUGACUCAAGCCAAGGAACGGGGACUUGAG
Molecule: non-coding RNA, 63 nt
Submitted as: unclassified sequences
Source: Rfam